RNA transcript from Eucalyptus grandis, 1441 nucleotides. RefSeq lists it as uncharacterized. The record is from RefSeq and is a predicted model, not a curated record. The transcript has 5 exons. NCBI's taxonomy places the organism in Eukaryota, Viridiplantae, Streptophyta, Magnoliopsida, Myrtales, Myrtaceae.
GUCACUCUCUGCCCCUCUUUAAUGCCCCUGCAGCACAUCUCUCACUAUCUAUCAUCUCAACGGCAUACGCUGCCUUUAAUCUACUUUCAAAGAACAUAAGGAACACGCGCAAGGUCAUUCUCUUCACACCCAUUCUCCCUGCAUUUCAGACGUGCUCAUGUAGGAUUAUUGCAAGUAGAGCCAUGGCAUCACCAACCAUAAGUAAUUCUCUUCGCCUUACCGACGUGCCUGCUGGAGAAUUGUAAGUAGAGCGAUGGCGUCACUGGGGUGAGCGUGAUUCUAAGGUAGAAUCGGAACCGAAGAACCAAACCGGCGGGACCAAUUCGGUUCCUGGUUCUAUGAGGGGCCGGGUAGGUUCUCGGUUCCAUUUUUUUAGGAACCGGAACCGGCGUAACUUGGGAACCGGGAACACCCAAACCCUGAAUUUGUCUUUCUCGUUUCUCUCUGUCAACAACAAGAAAAGGGAACCCAUUUCUCCUUCGUUCUUCCCCUUGGUCCAUUCUUGCUUCGCGACGCUGUGGUUCUUUCCACUUCUCUGUGGUUCUGUUCAUCUCGUCGUUCUUGACAUCUUGUUCCUCUCCGCGACGCUGUGGUUCUCGUUCGAAUCGUUUGCUAUCACCAACGCCGGCCGCGGCUCAGCGACCAUCAUCCAACAGCUGCGCAACAUCAUCACUCAGUUUUUUUGCUUUUGUAGGUUGAGGAGAACAUCGGCAAGUUCGCCAAGAAAGGUUUGACGCCAUCACAGAUUGGUGUCAUUCUUCGUGACUCUCACGGGAUUGCCCAAGUGAAGAGCAUCACGGGGAGCAAGAUUUUGCGUAUCCUCAAGGCUCACGAUUAUAGCAAUAUCUGAACAGGCAUCUGAGUACAUGGAAGAAUCCAAGAGCCCUGGAGAAAGCUCAAACCCUCUGGGCUAGAAAUCUUUCGACAUGCUUGCUGUUGUUGCUGCUACUGAGGAUCUUUGGCUAUUUAUCCUCUCUGAAAAGGGUUUGAGGGUGCGCAUUUCCUCCUCUGGGACAUAAUUAAAGCAGCAGACACCUUUCUACUGAAUCAAGUAGUAGGUUGCUCAUUGUUGUAUCAGAAGGUUGAAGCUGUACAAUAUUCAGACUCAGAGGCUUAGGCUACGCUAGCAAGGGUAACUCUCGGAUUUCGAUCUGUCGGUCAAGCGGUGAAUAUGGCCCCAAAAGUGUGGUCGGCCAUGUUUCUUUGAAUGAGAAAUACAUUAUCUAAGUGCAAGUUAAAUAGUCUCAAUUCCCAAGACAACAAUGGAGAUGGCAAUUUUAAAAAGGUACUUGUUUAGUAGUAUCCAUUAUCACUUUGUCAUUUGUAAAAUAUUCAACAUAGGUCUAACGUGGCAUGUGGCAUACUCAUUUUUGCUAGUAUCACCGUGUAGAAUGUUGGUUCACAUUCUAGAAUAUUAAAUGCUUACGAGUAUUAUAGAUUU